CCCUUCGGGGGCCCCCAGUGGGGAAUUUUGCGCAAAAGGGGGAAACUUUGACCCAUGGGCCCCCGCGUGAGGGAAGAAGCCCUUCGGGGGGUAAACCGCUUUCAGGGGGGAAAAAAUUUUUCGGGUUAAUAGCCCGGAGGGUGACGGUUCCUUCGGAGGAAGCCCCGCCUAACUUCGUCCCACCACCCGCGGAAAUACGUAGGGGGAAAGCUUUUUCCGGAUUUUUUGGGCGAAAAGGGUGUUUGGGCGGCCGUGUAGUUCGGUUGUGAAAUCUCGGGGUUCAACCCGGGGAUGCCGUUGGAAACCGUCGGGUUGGAGUCCGGAAGAGGGGAGUGGAAUUCCUGGUGUAGCGGUGAAAUGCGCAGAUAUCGGGAGGACCACCGGUGGGGAAGGCGGCUUUUUGGGCCGUUCCUGACGCUGAGACGCGAAACCGUGGGGACCAACCGGGGCAAGAUACCCCCCCAUUCCG
This 469-nucleotide ribosomal RNA is filed under the name uncultured Rubrobacteria bacterium. RNAcentral describes it as "partial 16S ribosomal RNA". It matches the Rfam family "Bacterial small subunit ribosomal RNA", at positions 337 to 797 of the family's 1533-position model. The record is from RNAcentral. Lineage: Bacteria; Bacillati; Actinomycetota; Rubrobacteria.